RNAcentral lists this ribosomal RNA (740 nucleotides) under Apogon imberbis (cardinalfish). RNAcentral describes it as "partial 16S ribosomal RNA". Lineage: Eukaryota; Metazoa; Chordata; Actinopteri; Kurtiformes; Apogonidae. The record is from RNAcentral.
UCCCAACAGCUAGCUCCCCAAAAUACAACAACACAUUAUUUUAACCCCUAAGAACCCAACCCCAAAACAAACCAUUUUUCCCCCUUAGUAUGGGAGACAGAAAAGGACCGAAGCAAUAGUUAAAGUACCGCAAGGGAAUGCUGAAAGAAAAUGAAACAAAUCAGUUAAGCGUUAUAAAGCAGAGCUUAGCCCUCGUACCUUUUGCAUCAUGAUUUAGCCAGAGAAGGGGAUUGCGCUGUUAUCCCUAGGGUAACUCGGUCCGUUGAUCGCUUUAGCGGAUCAUUAUUGGUCAGAAUUUCUGUUAGUUAGAGUUGUCACUCUUACCUGAGAGGGGGUUGCCCCCAUACCACACGGGGGUUUUGUUUUACUCCGUGGUCGCCCCAACCAAAGACAAGUUGGACAGUAGCCACUAGGUUCACCAUUAUUUUAGGGUUCCUUAACAUGGUCUGUUUUAUGUCUAAAGCUCCAUAGGGUCUUCUCGUCUUAUGGGGUUAUUCCCGCUUCUGCACGGGAAGAUCAAUUUCAUUGACUUGAGAAAGGAGACAGUUUAGCCCUCGUCGUGCCAUUCAUACAGGUCUUCAUUUAAAAGACAAGUGAUUGCGCUACCUUCGCACGGUCAGAGUACCGCGGCCGUUAAACGUUAGUCACAGGGCAGGCGGGACCUCUUAUUCAAGAGGCGAUGUUUUUGGUAAACAGGCGGGGCUGUUUGCCGAGUUCCUUCUUUCUCUUUUAGUCUUUCC